GACGAACGCUGGCGGCGUGCUUAACACAUGCAAGUCGAACGAUGAAGUUCCUUCGGGAAUGGAUUAGUGGCGAACGGGUGAGGAACACGUGAGAAACCUGCCUUUCAUUUUGGGAUACCCACGGGAAACCGGGGCUGAAACCGAAUACUCCGUUUCGGCGGCAUCCCUGAGCCGGGAAAAAAUGUUGAUGAAAGAUGGUCUCGCGGCCUUGCGGCUAGUUGGUGAGGGAAUGGCUCACCAAGGCAACGCCGGGUAGCCGGCCGGGGUAGGGCGACCGGCCACACUGGGACUGAGACACGGCCCAGACUCCUACGGGAGGCAGCAGUGGGGAAUAUUGGGCAAUGGGCGCAAGCCUGACCCAGCGACGCCGCGUGAGGGAUGAAGGCCUUCGGGUUGUAAACCUCUUUCAGUAGGGAAGAAGCGAAAGUGACGGUACCUAAAGAAGAAGCACCGGCUAACUAUGUGCCAGCCGCCGCCGUAA
This 481-nucleotide ribosomal RNA is filed under the name uncultured bacterium. RNAcentral describes it as "partial 16S ribosomal RNA". It matches the Rfam family "Bacterial small subunit ribosomal RNA", at positions 28 to 523 of the family's 1533-position model. The record is from RNAcentral.